GUCGGGAUAGCUCAGCUGGUAGAGCAGAGGACUGAAAAUCCUCGUGUCACCNGUUCNNAUA
Molecule: transfer RNA, 61 nt
Filed under: Passiflora anastomosans
Lineage: Eukaryota; Viridiplantae; Streptophyta; Magnoliopsida; Malpighiales; Passifloraceae
Description: partial tRNA-Phe
Rfam family: tRNA
About the family: Transfer RNA (tRNA) molecules are approximately 80 nucleotides in length. Their secondary structure includes four short double-helical elements and three loops (D, anti-codon, and T loops).
Source: RNAcentral